UACGUAGGGGGCAAGCGUUGUCCGGAUUUAUUGGGCGUAAAGAGCGUGUAGGCGGCUAGAUAGGUCCGUUGUGAAAACUCGAGGCUCAACCUCGAGACGUCGGUGGAAACCAUCUGGCUAGAGUCCGGAAGAGGAGAGUGGAAUUCCUGGUGUAGCGGUGAAAUGCGCAGAUAUCAGGAAGAACGCCCGUGGCGAAGGCGGCUCUCUGGUACGUGACUGACGCUGAGACGCGAAAGCGUGGGGAGCAAACAGG
Molecule: ribosomal RNA, 253 nt
Filed under: uncultured bacterium
Lineage: Bacteria
Description: partial 16S ribosomal RNA
Rfam family: Bacterial small subunit ribosomal RNA
Source: RNAcentral